ACGAACGUUGGCGGCGUGGAUUAGGCAUGCAAGUCGAACGAAUCCCUGUUGGGUAACUGACAGGGGGAAGUGGCGAAAGGGGCAGUAAAGCGUGGGUAACCUGCCCGGGGGACGGGGAUAGCCCUCCUAACGGAGGGGUAAUACCCGGCGAUCUGGUGGGGAGGCAUCUUCCGGCCAGCAAACGAAGCUCGCCCCCGGAGGGGCUCACGUGGUAUUAGCUAGACGGCGGGGUAACGGCCCACCGUGGCCAAGAUGCGUAGCAGGUGUGAGAGCACGACCUGCGCCACUGGCACUGGGACACUGGCCAGACUCCUACGGGAGGCUGCAGUCGAGGAUCUUCGGCAAUGGGCGCAAGCCUGACCGAGCGACGCCGCGUGUGCGACGAAGGCCUUCGGGUUGUAAAGCACUGUCGAGGGGAAGAAAAGCCGCAAGGCCUGAUCGACCCCUGGAGGAAGCACGGGCUAAGUUCGU
Molecule: ribosomal RNA, 471 nt
Filed under: uncultured bacterium
Lineage: Bacteria
Description: bacterial SSU rRNA
Rfam family: Bacterial small subunit ribosomal RNA
Source: RNAcentral